UUAAUUGGAUUAUGAUCCAUUGUGGUCUCAAUUUAUAACAAUUCUGGUGCCGUGACUCGGAUAAGGAACGGUGGGCUUUGGUCCUCCGGGGAGGCGCCCCGCGACAUUUCGCGGCCCCGCGACCAACAGCUUACUCCAACCUUACCGACGAACCUAAAUUCUAGAAUAAUGAGCAAAGGAGAAACCGGUAAAAUCCCAUAAAAUUCUGUGCACGGGAGUCCGGACGAAGACGCAGGACGCGUGUAAGGUAUGCCAGAAUAAAUGGUGGACACACUGUGAAUGUGGAUACCCUCCAAUAGGAGUUUGCACACAGUGUUGGAAAGUCCAAAGAACUCUUACUGAGUGGAAAUUAAAACAAUUAGAGUCUAAACAAGAAAUUAUUCGAGAAUCCCAUGAGUGGUGGGAAAUUUUUGCCAAAGGAAUAAACCCUCAAUAUUAUUGUUACCACUUCACCGAACCAGUCCCCUUUGUAGCUGAAAUCUUAGCUAUAAAAUGCAGAAGGGAAGUACUAACCGUGUCUUGCUUUGCCCCAUUAGUUAAAGCUGCAAAGUGGGAAGCCUAUGUAAACAGGCAGAAAGCCCGAAGCAGCUGUUCUCCUGAAGAAUUCCCUUGCUGCCGAGAAGAUGGUACACCCCGUGGCUCGAAGCAACCGAGUCGACGGGCAAGGCAGAGGAGGAACAAACUGUGGAGAAAAGAACCAGAACAAUGGGACACUAAAGCAACAAUGGCCAAACUUCCCCAGGACUGGUAAAAAUAUACUUAAAUUGGCAAAAUUGA
Long non-coding RNA from Falco peregrinus (peregrine falcon), 777 nucleotides. RefSeq lists it as uncharacterized. The record is from RefSeq and is a predicted model, not a curated record. The transcript has 2 exons. NCBI's taxonomy places the organism in Eukaryota, Metazoa, Chordata, Aves, Falconiformes, Falconidae.